RNAcentral lists this ribosomal RNA (206 nucleotides) under uncultured bacterium. RNAcentral describes it as "partial 16S ribosomal RNA". It matches the Rfam family "Bacterial small subunit ribosomal RNA", at positions 524 to 728 of the family's 1533-position model. The record is from RNAcentral.
UACGUAGGGUGCAGGCGUUAAUCGGAAUUACUGGGCGUAAAGCGUGCGCAGGCGGUUUGCUAAGACAGGUGUGAAGUCCCCCGGGCUUAACCUGGGAACUGCGCUUGUAACUGGCAAGCUAGAGUGUGGUAGAGGGGGUGGAAUUCCAGGGUGUAGCAGUGAAAUGCGUAGAGAUCUGGAGGAACACCGAUGGCGAAGGCAGCCCC